GAGCAAGUCGAUAGAAUGUUCUGUUAUCUGUGCUGUAGAAUUAGUUUUUCUAGACUCUCAUUUGACUCGAGGGGACUUUUGCCAUUGGAAAAGCUGAAAUACACAUGCAGUUUGUUGUUGUUUUUGCUUUGUUUUAGGAUUGGAGGGUUUCAUCUCAUGCUCAAAAAGCCCUUCUAUUCCCAAACUAUAUUCUCCCAAAGCGUAUUUAAAUCCCCUCAAUUUUAUUCUUCCUUUGAGGUCAAUCAUCCACUGGUAUCUCUUUUCUUGCGCGUAACACGGGAGAAGGGAGAGAACAACCCAAAAAUUCAGCAGUCGGGCAUCCGGAGAGCUGGUGCAAAAACGAGGGGGGCGGGGGUUGGCAGGAUUCGGGUCAGAUCUCGGCAGCACUUCCGGGAAGGCUUGAAACCGUCCAUCUCGAAUCGCCGCCGCCUCGCAUCCCGCGCUUCCCUCCCCGGCGUCCCCCGGGACGAUGCCAGGGUUUCCUUGGAACGCGGCCUCACGGCUUCUCCGGCGCCUCCAGCCACGGAACGGCUGCCUGCCCACCGAGGUCGCCGCGCCCGGGCCACUCAGCGCGCCCCAAGCCAUCACAGGGGAGCCGUCCGGCGGGCGCUGCCCUGGCGAGACGGGGACGGGGACGGAGGCGACACCGCUCUGCGCCUGCGCGCUCUCGCGGGACCCUCCCCGCCCUUCCGGGUACCACUUGGGCAGUCCCGGCUUCCGGCCGGCGGCGCAUGCGCAGUCCGGGUCGCGGCGCUCGGCGGCCGUGCGGGUCGGCGAGGUGCGAAGAUGGCGGGGCUGCGCUUGGCGGCUCUGGGCGCCCGGGUGCCUUGCUGGAGGUGGGGCGGAGCGGCGGUCUUCGGCUUCCGCCGGGGCCUCAGCGCCUGGCUCGCAAGGAAGCCCGAGGGGACUCCGCGGUGGCCCCCAGGUCAGUGUCCUGACGGCGGGAGAAAGCAGCACGCGCGCUCGCGGACGUGCCUGUCUCGUGCGGUCUGGGGCGCCAGCUCGCAAACGCUCUCGCCGCCCGCCCGGCGGGGGCGGGAGGACGGCCCCGGUGGGAGGGGCUGCGGGGCCCGGGCGGUAGCUGACGGGCAGUCCGCGCAGCCCCGAGCUGCGGCUGCUCUGCCGGUCUCCCCGGGGAAGCGAAGCCGCGCGUCUGCAGCGCAGCCGUUGCUCGUGUCUCCCGGAGCCCAAGGAGUUUAGGGGUCUUGACCCUUUGUUCGGAUGCAUCACGGGAGGGGGCCUACGGCGGGACUUGGCGUCGUCGUUGCGAAGGCGUCGCCGUCGCCGUCGAGCCUCAUCUGAGUUUGCCUUCCCCGGGCUCCGCGCUCAGCGCAGACCGCAGUCCUUACCCUUCGGAGGAAACUGGCGUCUGCUCCAAAAACGACAGUGUUUUCCUUGUAUUUCCAUCUUGUGAGUCUGCUGUUUCCCCGUCCCGCUCCACCCGCAGUAUAUACGAUCAUUCUUUCUGAAUCGUGUCUUUGAAUUCUCUCCGCCUUUGUGAUGUUUUACGUUUUUGACGUACAGGCUAUCAGGUGCGCUUGUGCUGGGAGUGGAACCUGUCAGUGCUUUAUACCCUUGGUCUUGGUUGAAAUUUUUAAAUGUAUAUAAUACAGUUUAACUUAUGGUUAAUUGGGCAGCCGUCGGGGGCCCGGCGGGCUCAGCGCCGCCUGCAGCCCGGGGCGUGACCCUGGAGUCCCGGGGUCGAGUCCCACUUCGGGCUCCCUGAGUGGAGCCUGCCUCUCCCUCUGCCUGGGUCUCUGCCUCUCUCUCU
Long non-coding RNA from Vulpes vulpes (red fox), 1771 nucleotides. NCBI's taxonomy places the organism in Eukaryota, Metazoa, Chordata, Mammalia, Carnivora, Canidae. The record is from Ensembl.